ACACUAUAUGAGCAGCUUCUCCUUGAAGCUCUCCUUGAUCGAGGAGGUGUAAGGCUUCGAGAAGCAGAACGAUAACGGAGUCUUCUAUAUCUAGAGUUAUAUAGCGAAUAUGACCUAUCACGUGACAUUCUAUAGUACCGAUCAUCAGGUGAGUAAGAACGGUCCCGCCUUCUAUAGUAUCGAUCCUCAGGAGAGUAAGAACGAUCCCGUCUGCAGUGGUAACGAUCAUCGGGAGAGUAAAACCUAUCACGCCUUCUAUAGUAUCUAUCAUCAGGAGAGUAAGAACGGUCCCGUCUAUGAUAAUAACAAUCAUAAGGAGAGUAGGACUGAUCACGCCUUCGAUAGUAUCGAUCUUCAG
Molecule: long non-coding RNA, 358 nt
Filed under: Gossypium raimondii (Peruvian cotton)
Lineage: Eukaryota; Viridiplantae; Streptophyta; Magnoliopsida; Malvales; Malvaceae
Description: long non-coding RNA (GRAI_LNC011033)
Source: RNAcentral